GACGAACGCUGGCGGCGUGCUUAACACAUGCAAGUCGAACGGAAAGGCCCUGCUUUUGUGGGGUGCUCGAGUGGCGAACGGGUGAGUAACACGUGAGUAACCUACCCUUGACUUUGGGAUAACUUCAGGAAACUGGGGCUAAUACCUGAUAGGAGCUCCUGCUGCAUGGUGGGGGUUGGAAAGUUUCGGCGGUUGGGGAUGGACUCGCGGCUUAUCAGCUUGUUGGUGGGGUAGUGGCUUACCAAGGCUUUGACGGGUAGCCGGCCUGAGAGGGUGACCGGCCACAUGGGGACUGAGAUACGGACCAGACUCCUACGGGAGGCAGCAGUGGGGAAUAUUGCGCAAUGGGCGGAAGCGUGAUGCAGCAACGCCGCGUGCGGGAUGACGGCCUUCGGGUGGUAAACCGCUUUCGCCUGUGACGAAGCGUGAGUGACGGUAAUGGGUAAAGAAGCAACGGCUAACUACGUG
This 468-nucleotide ribosomal RNA is filed under the name uncultured bacterium. RNAcentral's name for it is "partial 16S ribosomal RNA". It matches the Rfam family "Bacterial small subunit ribosomal RNA", at positions 28 to 507 of the family's 1533-position model. The record is from RNAcentral.